GUGCCAGCAGCCGCGGUAAUACGUAGGUGGCAAGCGUUGUCCGGAUUUAUUGGGUUUAAAGGGUGCGUAGGCGGCCUUAUAAGUCAGUGCUGAAAUAUCCCAGCUUAACUGGGAGGGUGGCAUUGAUACUGUAGGGCUUGAGUCGAGUUGAGGUUGGCGGAAUUGACGGUGUAGCGGUGAAAUGCUUAGAUAUCGUCAAGAACACCGAUAGUGAAGACAGCUAACUAAGCUCAAACUGACGCUGAGGCACGAAAGUGUGGGGAUCAAACAGGAUUAGAUACCCUGGUAGUCC
This 292-nucleotide ribosomal RNA is filed under the name uncultured bacterium. RNAcentral's name for it is "partial 16S ribosomal RNA". It matches the Rfam family "Bacterial small subunit ribosomal RNA", at positions 505 to 796 of the family's 1533-position model. The record is from RNAcentral.